Molecule: ribosomal RNA, 161 nt
Filed under: uncultured Bacillus sp.
Lineage: Bacteria; Bacillati; Bacillota; Bacilli; Caryophanales; Bacillaceae
Description: partial 16S ribosomal RNA
Rfam family: Bacterial small subunit ribosomal RNA
Source: RNAcentral
CUACGGGAGGCAGCAGUAGGGAAUCUUCCGCAAUGGACGAAAGUCUGACGGAGCAACGCCGCGUGAGUGAUGAAGGCUUUCGGGUCGUAAAACUCUGUUGUUAGGGAAGAACAAGUGCUAGUUGAAUAAGCUGGCACCUGACGUACCUAGCAGAUGUUAGU